UGAGACAGAUAGAGUCAAGGAAGAUACACACUUGACUGAGAAGAAGAGAUAUAUACGCAACCGGAGCAAUUUCUUGUUUUGGUGAGCUCAAGCUUCCGGCCAGUCAAUCUCUAAUAUACACUCUCGGUUUUUGGGGGCUACUGAGAAAAGAAGCUGAGAAAAGAAGAAGAAGAAGAUUCAUUCUGGGAUAUGAACAGUCGCGAACCAAUCACACAAAGCCAGAGCUAUAUUCUGAUUGUCAACCAUUUCUGACAUCGCCGUCCCCACCAUUGCCAAUCGAAGCUCUACUUUCCUGGCCCGUUUACAUUUGCGCUGGCUGUUGAUUGAGAAAUGUCAUGUGAUGACAAGUGGUGGUCGGCAAAGAUUCUUGAUGGCCGGAAUCAAUGAUCGGAAUAACUGCCUAGUGGUCCAGAGAAAUGUUGAUGGCUGGAAGUUGUGGCUGGCAGCAGUGGAGAGGGAAGAAAACUAGCAAAUUGCGACUCUAAAGGAUUGUGAUAUUUUGAUUUCCAAUUGCAAGUUGUGAUUAAAGACCAUCUCAUCAAGCCAUUUAGACUUCUAAUAUAGACUCUAGAAGUAGCAAAUACUAGCAUAAAUGCACAUCUUGUUUGCCUUUUCUCACAUGCUAUGCUUAAUCCCAUUUCGUAUCAUUUAUUGACAGUACAAAUGUAUUCAUGGGCAGAGCAUUCCUUGUGAAUUUAUAAAGACAUACUGUCAAGAAAACCAGCAAAUUGUGACUCUCAAGGACUCGGACACAUUGUGGCAGUGCAGGUUAGGAAAAAUAGUCUAAAUGUCCAAGAGCCCUCUUGAGCAGCUUUUUAAUGGUUCCACGUGCCCGAGGCCUCUCACUGCCCUUGAUAAGCUUAGAGAAUUUAAAUCGGCGGUAUCCCUUAUUCCAAACGGUGACUAACUUGGUACUUUCUCUGGCUGCCUAGGCUGGGGAAGAAGAGGCGACACAAAAUGUCCAACUUAAGUAGUACAACAGGCCUAGGCUUGGGAUUACUGAGCUCGCUAUAACAGCACAGCAACACGAGUUGGAUAUUGCUCCCCUGCAACAGCUGGCUCACGAGAGCUAUUGCAAGCAGGUUCAAACUUAUGAUUGGAAAUGAAGAAAAUGUGGUUCGACUCUAGGCCUUAAAAAUUAGU
Long non-coding RNA from Eucalyptus grandis, 1143 nucleotides. RefSeq lists it as uncharacterized. NCBI's taxonomy places the organism in Eukaryota, Viridiplantae, Streptophyta, Magnoliopsida, Myrtales, Myrtaceae. The transcript has 3 exons. The record is from RefSeq and is a predicted model, not a curated record.